UAACAAGGUCUUCGUAGGUGAACCUGCGGAGGGAUCAUUACCGAGUUAGGGUCCUCACAGGGCCCGACCUCCCAACCCUUUGUUUAUGAUACCUAGUGUUGCUUCGGUAGGCCUGGUCUCCGACCUGCCGGGGGGCCGUGAAACGCCCCGCCGGAGAGCGCCUGCCGACAGCCCCAACCUUUAAAAUUCUUAACCAAACGUGUCUUGUCUGAGUAAACGUCUUUUAAAUAAAAGCAAAACUUUCAACAACGGAUCUCUUGGUUCUGGCAUCGAUGAAGAACGCAGCGAA
Molecule: unclassified non-coding RNA, 289 nt
Filed under: uncultured fungus
Lineage: Eukaryota; Fungi
Description: partial contains 18S rRNA, ITS1, 5.8S rRNA
Rfam family: 5.8S ribosomal RNA (bases 238-289)
Source: RNAcentral